GACGAACGCUGGCGGCGUGCUUAACACAUGCAAGUCGAACGAUGAUGCUGGAGCUUGCUCCAGUUGAUUAGUUGCGAACGGGUGAGUAACACGUGAGCAAUCUGCCCUUGACUCUGGGAUAACUGCGGGAAACUGUAGCUAAUACCGGAUACUUUCACCGGAAGGCAUCUUCUGGUGAUGAAAGAAUUUCGGUCAGGGAUGAGCUCGCGGCCUAUCAGCUUGUUGGUGAGGUAACGGCUCACCAAGGCGACGACGGGUAACCGGCCUGAGAGGGUGACCGGUCACACUGGGACUGAGACACUGACCAGACUCCUACGGGAGGCAGCAGUGGGGAAUAUUGCACAAUGGGCGCAAGCCUGAUGCAGCAACGCCGCGUGAGGGAUGAAGGCCUUCGGGUUGUAAACCUCUUUUAGCAGGGAAGAAGCGAAAGUGACGGUACCUGCAGAAAAAGCACCGGCUAACUACGUGCCAGCCGCCGCAGUAA
RNAcentral lists this ribosomal RNA (484 nucleotides) under uncultured bacterium. RNAcentral describes it as "partial 16S ribosomal RNA". It matches the Rfam family "Bacterial small subunit ribosomal RNA", at positions 28 to 523 of the family's 1533-position model. The record is from RNAcentral.